UACGUAGGAGGCAAGCGUUGUCCGGAAUCAUUGGGCGUAAAGAGCGUGUAGGCGGCCCGGUAAGUCCGCUGUGAAAGUCGGGGGCUCAACCCUCGAAUGCCGGUGGAUACUGUCGGGCUAGAGUGCGGAAGAGGCGAGUGGAAUUCCUGGUGUAGCGGUGAAAUGCGCAGAUAUCAGGAGGAACACCGAUUGCGAAGGCAGCUCGCUGGGACGUAACUGACGCUGAGACGCGAAAGCGUGGGGAGCAAACAGG
RNAcentral lists this ribosomal RNA (253 nucleotides) under uncultured bacterium. RNAcentral describes it as "partial 16S ribosomal RNA". It matches the Rfam family "Bacterial small subunit ribosomal RNA", at positions 524 to 776 of the family's 1533-position model. The record is from RNAcentral.